Long non-coding RNA from Tarenaya hassleriana, 302 nucleotides. RefSeq lists it as uncharacterized. The record is from RefSeq and is a predicted model, not a curated record. The transcript has 3 exons. Lineage: Eukaryota; Viridiplantae; Streptophyta; Magnoliopsida; Brassicales; Cleomaceae.
GCCAUGGAUAUCUGAAUGAUUGGUAAGGUCCAUGUGGAGGUUCCCAUGUUGCAAAUCCCAUCUUCAGACAAGAAAAAAAAAUGAACAAGAGAGGAGAGGAAAUGGUUAUGGCGUGUUGAUGGGUGAAAGAAAACUUAUGGAGAUUUGGGAAUUUACAUUACCAGAGUAUCUUCUUGGCUGGUAGAUUGGACGGCGGACCGGUAACCACUGUAAACCGCAUCAUCAGCAACCGCCUCAUAGACGAGAAUUUUCGAGGGGAUCCUAUCGUAUGCCACACAAUCGAGGUUAGAAUGUGAACCUUC